CUGCUGCCGCCGGACCACUCUGUCAGAUACAUCCCAUCUCUGCUCAUUUGUAUCACCUGCUUCAGAAGCAGAGUUACCGAGUGGCUGCAUCUGAUUGGCUGAGCAGGUCACAUGACCGCACUGCAGCCGCAAAGGAGGCUGGGAAAGUGAGGUCUGGUUUUUAGGGUAGGAAGAGGGCUCCACCUCCCUGGCAGACCAACAAGGUAGGAGAUGCUCCAAAUACAUGCUGGAGAUCCAUGAAAAGUAUAAAGGUUGUCUCUGCAGGGUGAGAGACCAUUUGCUCCCUGAUCUGCAGAGUCUGUGGCUGCCUGUCUCAUCCCCCUGCUCCCAGCAUUAGGAAAAUGCCUCUCCAAUAGGCUUCAGGAAGGUCUAUGGUGAACUGACUCACCUGGAAUCAGACAACACUGGCACUGGGGAACCACACCGGGGGAUCCCUGCAAGAGAAAUUUGAAGACUAACAUAGGAUGGCCCACUUUUUAUUUUGCCAAGAAUUUCUCUUUCUCUUUUUUGUUUUUGUUUUUGUUUUUGUUUUUUGUUUUUCAGGGCCACACCUGUGGCAUAUGGAGAUUCCCAGGCUAGGGGUUGAAUCAGAGCUGUAGCUACUGGUCUAUACCACAGCCACAAACGCCAGAUCCAAGCUGUGUCUGCAACCUACACUGCAGCUCAUGGCAACACCAGAUCCUUGACCCACUGAGAGAGGCCAGAGCUCAAACCUGCGUCCUCAUGGAUGCCAGACAGAUUUGUUUCUGCUGAGCCAUGAUAGGAACUCCUUUUUUUUUUCCCCCGCCAAGAAUUUCAAAAGCAAAUAACAAAUAAACCACGUUCUAUUCUCACCAUCAUUUUAUAAAAGAGGGGCCAUCUUAAACACCAAAAAGACAAACAAAAAAACAGGACAAGGAAGAAUUUUACAAUAAGCACAAUCCUUACAAUUAAAUACAUAUUAGCUAUAAGAAAAACUCCAUAUAUCCAGAUUUUUCUGCUUUCACUGGAAACCUAUGUAAAGGUCCUGACAGAGUGACUUUGAACUGGACUGGGAGCGACAUAAUGUUAUUGUAUCAAUGCUAAGUUUCCUGAUUUUGUUAACAGCAGGGGUUGUGUAAGUCUUACAAGGUAAGAGAAUGUCCUUAUUCUUAGGAAAUACACCCUGAAACAUUUAGAGGUAAAAGGGCACCUGUCUCAACUUACUCUCAAAUAGUUUGGAAGAAAAUUAUACAUACGUACACAGAGAAAGAGAAUGUAAACAAGACAAUAUGUAAAUAAUUGCUAAAUCUGAAUAAAAACUGUACCAGAAUCUUUGUACUAUUCUUGCCACUUCUUUUGUAAUUUUUUUUUCUUUUUUUUUUUUUUUUUUGUCUCUUUAGGGCCACACCCGAAGCAUAUGAAAGUUCCCAGGCUAGGGGUCAAAUUGGAGCU
RNAcentral lists this long non-coding RNA (1413 nucleotides) under Sus scrofa (pig). RNAcentral describes it as "lncRNA (ENSSSCG00015070107.1)". The record is from RNAcentral. Lineage: Eukaryota; Metazoa; Chordata; Mammalia; Artiodactyla; Suidae.